GUCGAACGCUCGUAGCAAUACGGGAGUGGCAGACGGGUGAGUAACGCGUGGGAACAUACCCUCCGGUUCGGAAUAACUCAGGGAAACUUGAGCUAAUACCGGAUACGGCUUAGCGGCGAAAGAUUUAUCGCCGGAGGAUUGGCCCGCGUCCGAUUAGCUAGUUGGUGUGGUAACGGCGCACCAAGGCGACGAUCGGUAGCUGGUCUGAGAGGAUGAUCAGCCACAUUGGGACUGAGACACGGCCCAAACUCCUACGGGAGGCAGCAGUGGGGAAUAUUGGACAAUGGGCGCAAGCCUGAUCCAGCCAUGCCGCGUGAGUGAUGACGGCCUUAGGGUUGUAAAGCUCUUUCGCUCGGGACGAUAAUGACGGUACCGAGAUAAGAAGCCCCGGCUAACUUCGUGCCAGCAGCCGCGGUAAUACGAAGGGGGCUAGCGUUGUUCGGAAUUACUGGGCGUAAAGCGCGUGUAGGCGGGUCUUUAAGUCAGGGGUGAAAUGCCAGGGCUCAACCUUGGAACAGCCUUUGAUACUGGAGAUCUUGAGUCCGGGAGAGGUGAGUGGAACUGCGAGUGUAGAGGUGAAAUUCGUAGAUAUUCGCAAGAACACCAGUGGCGAAGGCGGCUCACUGGCCCGGAACUGACGCUGAGACGCGAAAGCGUGGGGAGCAAACAGGAUUAGAUACCCUGGUAGUCCACGCUGU
This 698-nucleotide ribosomal RNA is filed under the name uncultured bacterium. Its description in RNAcentral is "bacterial SSU rRNA". It matches the Rfam family "Bacterial small subunit ribosomal RNA", at positions 61 to 803 of the family's 1533-position model. The record is from RNAcentral.